This 315-nucleotide ribosomal RNA is filed under the name Triticum aestivum (bread wheat). RNAcentral describes it as "partial small subunit ribosomal RNA". The record is from RNAcentral. Lineage: Eukaryota; Viridiplantae; Streptophyta; Magnoliopsida; Poales; Poaceae.
AUGGACACUGAGGGAAUGGAAUUCCUACUGGAUGUGGUCGACAGGUUCCCAGUGCGGGAGGAGUAUGCAGAUAAUGUUGACCAUCCGGAUCCAGUCUUGCUCAUGUACCUUCUGGAUAAGGGGGCUGCGAGUCCGGAGAUUGGUCAGGCAGACGUUGAUUCUGGGGUAGCUGAGAUGGUGUGCGGAGGUGUGCUAACUGACGCUGAAGUAGGUGCCCCCCGUAGACGUGAUGAAUCUCCGACGAGGUCUGCCCAAUCAUCAGGCAGAGUCAAUCCACAGGCCCCGGCUGGACUAAGAGGGGAAACCAGACGCUGA